UUUUGUAGCUAUAUCCUGUUUCAGCAGACAGGAGCAGUGGCUGUUCUCAGAUGAUCUCAAAAAAGCUAAGCAGGGUCAAGCUGGGUUAAUACUUGAAUGGGAUGCCUCUGGAAAAUCCCAGUGCUAUAGUUA
RNAcentral lists this ribosomal RNA (132 nucleotides) under Notechis scutatus (mainland tiger snake). Lineage: Eukaryota; Metazoa; Chordata; Lepidosauria; Squamata; Elapidae. The record is from RNAcentral.